GCUGGGUACGGUGGCAUGUGUCUGUAGUCCCAGCUGCUUGAGAGGCUGAGGCAGGAGGGUUGCUUGAACCCAGGAGUUGCAGGCUGCUAUGAUGGUGUCCACAUUAAGUUCAGCAUGAAUAUGGUGUCCUCCUGGGAGCAGGGACCACUAGGUUGCCUAAGGAGGGUGAACCAGCCCAGUUCAAAACCAGAACAGGUCAAAACUCCUCUGCUGAUCAAUAGUGAGAUUGUGCCUGUGAACAGAGAAUAGUUCACACUCUGGAGAGCCACCGCACUCCAGCCUG
RNAcentral lists this signal recognition particle RNA (283 nucleotides) under Aotus nancymaae (Ma's night monkey). RNAcentral describes it as "Metazoan signal recognition particle RNA (ENSANAG00000012356.1)". It matches the Rfam family "Metazoan signal recognition particle RNA". From Rfam's summary of the family: The signal recognition particle (SRP) is a universally conserved ribonucleoprotein. It is involved in the co-translational targeting of proteins to membranes. Lineage: Eukaryota; Metazoa; Chordata; Mammalia; Primates; Aotidae. The record is from RNAcentral.